AUGAUUAAAGAUAGCUUGCUAUUUUUAUGAAGAGCGGCGAACGGGUGAGUAACGCGUGGGAAAUCUGCCGAGUAGCGGGGGACAACGUUUGGAAACGAACGCUAAUACCGCAUAACAAUGAGAAUCGCAUGAUUCUUAUUUAAAAGAAGCAAUUGCUUCACUACUUGAUGAUCCCGCGUUGUAUUAGCUAGUUGGUAGUGUAAAGGACUACCAAGGCGAUGAUACAUAGCCGACCUGAGAGGGUGAUCGGCCACACUGGGACUGAGACACGGCCCAGACUCCUACGGGAGGCAGCAGUAGGGAAUCUUCGGCAAUGGGGGCAACCCUGACCGAGCAACGCCGCGUGAGUGAAGAAGGUUUUCGGAUCGUAAAACUCUGUUGUUAGAGAAGAACG
RNAcentral lists this ribosomal RNA (394 nucleotides) under Lactococcus garvieae. RNAcentral describes it as "bacterial SSU rRNA". It matches the Rfam family "Bacterial small subunit ribosomal RNA", at positions 66 to 451 of the family's 1533-position model. Lineage: Bacteria; Bacillati; Bacillota; Bacilli; Lactobacillales; Streptococcaceae. The record is from RNAcentral.